AGGACGAACGCUGGCGGCGUGCUUAACACAUGCAAGUCGAGCGGUGAUCCUCCUUCGGGAGGUGAGCAGCGGCGAACGGGUGAGUAACACGUGGGCAACCUGCCCCUCACACUGGGAUAACCUCGGGAAACCGGGGCUAAUACCGGAUAUGACCUCGAGCGGCAUCUCUUGAGGUGGAAAGCUCCGACGGUGAGGGAUGGGCCCGCGGCCUAUCAGCUUGUUGGUGGGGUAAUGGCCUACCAAGGCGACGACGGGUAGCCGGCCUGAGAGGGCGACCGGCCACACUGGGACUGAGACACGGCCCAGACUCCUACGGGAGGCAGCAGUGGGGAAUAUUGCGCAAUGGGCGAAAGCCUGACGCAGCGACGCCGCGUGAGGGAUGAAGGCCUUCGGGUUGUAAACCUCUUUCAGCAGGGACGAAGCGAAAGUGACGGUACUGCAGAAGAAGCACCGGCUAACUACGUGCCAGCAGCCGCGGUAA
RNAcentral lists this ribosomal RNA (481 nucleotides) under uncultured bacterium. Its description in RNAcentral is "SSU rRNA". It matches the Rfam family "Bacterial small subunit ribosomal RNA", at positions 26 to 523 of the family's 1533-position model. The record is from RNAcentral.